This 1487-nucleotide ribosomal RNA is filed under the name uncultured prokaryote. RNAcentral describes it as "partial 16S ribosomal RNA". It matches the Rfam family "Bacterial small subunit ribosomal RNA". The record is from RNAcentral.
AGAGUUUGAUCCUGGCUCAGAUUGAACGCUGGCGGUAUGCUUAACACAUGCAAGUCGAACGGUAGCAGGCCUUCGGGCGCCGACGAGUGGCGGACGGGUGAGUAAUGCGUAGGAAUCUGCCUAGUAGUGGGGGACAACUUGGGGAAACUCAAGCUAAUACCGCAUACGCCCUACGGGGGAAAGCGGGGGAUCUUCGGACCUCGCGCUAUUAGAUGAGCCUGCGUGAGAUUAGCUUGUUGGUGAGGUAAAGGCUCACCAAGGCUACGAUCUCUAGCUGGUCUGAGAGGACGAUCAGCCACACUGGGACUGAGACACGGCCCAGACUCCUACGGGAGGCAGCAGUGGGGAAUAUUGGACAAUGGGCGCAAGCCUGAUCCAGCAAUACCGCGUGUGUGAAGAAGGCCUUAGGGUUGUAAAGCACUUUCAGUUGUGAAGAAAAGUUUUGGGUAAUAACCUUAGGUCUUGACGUUAACAGCAGAAGAAGCACCGGCUAACUCCGUGCCAGCAGCCGCGGUAAUACGGAGGGUGCAAGCGUUAAUCGGAAUUACUGGGCGUAAAGCGCGCGUAGGCGGUUUGAUAAGUCAGAUGUGAAAGCCCCGGGCUCAACCUGGGAACUGCAUUUCGAACUGACAAACUAGAGUUUUGUAGAGGGUGGUAGAAUUUCAGGUGUAGCGGUGAAAUGCGUAGAGAUCUGAAGGAAUACCAGUGGCGAAGGCGGCCACCUGGACAAUAACUGACGCUCAUGUACGAAAGCGUGGGGAGCAAACGGGAUUAGAUACCCCGGUAGUCCACGCCGUAAACUAUGUCAACUAGCCGACUGAAUGCCUUGAGCGCUGGGUGACGCAGCUAACGCAUUAAGUUGACCGCCUGGGGAGUACGGCCGCAAGGUUAAAACUCAAAUGAAUUGACGGGGGCCCGCACAAGCGGUGGAGCAUGUGGUUUAAUUCGAUGCAACGCGAAGAACCUUACCCACUCUUGACAUCCACAGAAUUCGCUAGAGAUAGCUUAGUGCCUCCCGGGACUCUUUACAAGGUGCUGCAUGGUUGUCGUCAGCUCGUGCCGUGAGGUGUCGGGUUAAGUCCCAUAACGAGCGCAACCCCUAUCGUUAGUUGCCAGCGAGUCAAGUCGGGGACUCUAACGAGACUGCCGGUGUAAACCGCGAGGAAGGUGGGGAUGACGUCAAAUCAGCACGGCCCUUACGUCCAGGGCUACACACGUGUUACAAUGGCCGAUACAAAGGGCAGCUACCAGGUGACUGGAUGCUAAUCUCGAAAGUCGGUCUUAGUUCGGUUCGAAGUCUGCAACUCGACUUCGUGAAGCUGGAUUCGCUAGUAAUCGUAGAUCAGCAAUGCUACGGUGAAUACGUUCCCGGGCCUUGUACACACCGCCCGUCAAGCCAUGGAAGCUGGGGGUACCUGAAGUCUGUCACCGCAAGGAGCGGCCUAGGGUAAAACUGGUAACUGGGGCUAAGUCGUAACAAGGUAGCC